Molecule: transfer RNA, 72 nt
Filed under: marine sediment metagenome
Description: tRNA-Thr
Rfam family: tRNA
About the family: Transfer RNA (tRNA) molecules are approximately 80 nucleotides in length. Their secondary structure includes four short double-helical elements and three loops (D, anti-codon, and T loops).
Source: RNAcentral
GCCAACGUAGCUCAGCGGUAGAGCUCUGGUUUUGUAAACCAGUGGUCAUUGGUUCGAAUCCAAUUGUUGGCU